Molecule: long non-coding RNA, 506 nt
Filed under: Brassica napus (rape)
Lineage: Eukaryota; Viridiplantae; Streptophyta; Magnoliopsida; Brassicales; Brassicaceae
Description: long non-coding RNA (BNAP_LNC001705)
Source: RNAcentral
ACGUGUAUAUAUAAAAGAUGAUAACAAUUUUGUUUUCACGAGGCCGGAAGGAAAGGAAGAAGAAGAGACACGGGACUCCUUUAAUUUCUUCUCUUUUGUCAAUGUUGUGCUAUAUCUAUUUAUUUAUGCAGGUAAGGUUUUCUAUAGUUUGUACAAGUGUGAAAAUACCAAUUGUUGCUAGCUUAUAUAAUCGUGUUAACAGGCUGUUUAUCAAUAAUUUGGACUGGAAGUCUGGAACUGCAGAGUUUUUUUUUUUCUUCGAGAAAUGACUUCGAUGUAUUUAUCAUCUCCGUCACCCGGAUCCUCAUCACCCGAAAAGUUACUACCAUCAGAAACAUGACCAGAUGAGAUGGAGUUUUUUGAGGAAUAAGGGGUUAAAUCAACGACAAGGCCACCUUCAACCAGAUCAUUAAUCUCGACAGCCAACGUCUGGGAAUGAAGAUUCACAUGCUGAGAGUGGUGGCUGAUAGGAGACACUGAUCUUUGCCUGUUCUCCAAGGACUUCG